RNAcentral lists this ribosomal RNA (446 nucleotides) under uncultured bacterium. Its description in RNAcentral is "SSU rRNA". It matches the Rfam family "Bacterial small subunit ribosomal RNA", at positions 26 to 518 of the family's 1533-position model. The record is from RNAcentral.
AGAGCGAACGCUGGCGGCAGGCUUAACACAUGCAAGUCGAGCGGGCGUAGCAAUACGUCAGCGGCAGACGGGUGAGUAACGCGUGGGAACAUACCUUUUGGUUCGGAACAACACAGGGAAACUUGUGCUAAUACCGGAUAAGCCCUUACGGGGAAAGAUUUAUCGCCGAAAGAUUGGCCCGCGUCUGAUUAGCUAGUUGGUGAGGUAAUGGCUCACCAAGGCGACGAUCAGUAGCUGGUCUGAGAGGAUGAUCAGCCACAUUGGGACUGAGACACGGCCCAAACUCCUACGGGAGGCAGCAGUGGGAAUAUUGGACAAUGGGCGCAAGCCUGAUCCAGCCAUGCCGCGUGAGUGAUGAAGGCCCUAGGGUUGUAAAGCUCUUUUGUGCGGGAAGAUAAUGACGGUACCGCAAGAAUAAGCCCGGCUAACUUCGCGCCAGCAGCCGC